RNAcentral lists this ribosomal RNA (492 nucleotides) under uncultured bacterium. RNAcentral describes it as "partial 16S ribosomal RNA". It matches the Rfam family "Bacterial small subunit ribosomal RNA", at positions 29 to 507 of the family's 1533-position model. The record is from RNAcentral.
AGUGAACGCUGGCGGUAGGCCUAACACAUGCAAGUCGAACGGCAGCACAGUAAGAGCUUGCUCUUACGGGUGGCGAGUGGCGGACGGGUGAGGAAUACAUCGGAAUCUACUUUUUCGUGGGGGAUAACGUAGGGAAACUUACGCUAAUACCGCAUACUAUCUACGGGUGAAUGCAGGGGAUCUUCGGACCUUGCGCGAUUGAAUGAGCCGAUGUCGGAUUAGCUAGUUGGCGGGGUAAAGGCCCACCAAGGCGACGAUCCGUAGCUGGUCUGAGAGGAUGAUCGGCCACACUGGAACUGAGACACGGUCCAGACUCCUACGGGAGGCAGCAGUGGGGAAUAUUGCACAAUGGGCGCAAGCCUGAUCCAGCCAUACCGCGUGGGUGAAGAAGGCCUUCGGGUUGUAAAGCCCUUUUAUUGGGAAAGAAAAGCAGCAGGUUAAUACCCCGCUGUUCUGACGGUACCCAAUGAGUAAGCACCGGCUAACUUCGUG